RNAcentral lists this long non-coding RNA (1217 nucleotides) under Heterocephalus glaber (naked mole-rat). Its description in RNAcentral is "lncRNA (ENSHGLG00100039684.1)". Lineage: Eukaryota; Metazoa; Chordata; Mammalia; Rodentia; Bathyergidae. The record is from RNAcentral.
CCAGAGCUCAGGCUGGGGAAGCUGGGAUUUCGGCCGGCAGCCCCCCGUGACAGGGUGGGGAGAGAAGGGAGCAUUUGGUGCCCUGUGGUACUGGGAGUCCCUGCCCUGCCUCACUCUCUCCAGGCCAGUAGUGUCCUCUGGGGCCUCUCUGCGCCCCACAGCUAGCCCAGGGUCUCUGUCGGGGCCCCUGAUCCCCCACACACUGCAUGGCUCUCCUGCCUGAACCCUCAUCACCUCAGCUUGAACCUAGGUGACUCUGCCCCUGUCUGGCCCCACAGCCUUGCUGUGUCCCCUCUGAGCCCCAGGCUCAGACGCUUCCUGGCAUCCCUUCUUUUAUUCUUUUAGUUUAUUUACUUAUUUAAUUUUUUGAAACAGGGCCUUGCUGUAUUGCCCAGGGCCACCUUGAACUCCUGAUCCUCCUGGUCCUGGCCUCUCAUGAGGCAGGGGUCCCCUCCCGCCAUGGAGAUGUUCCACACAGGCCUGAGCAGGCCAGGGGCUGCCACAGCAGGAGCCAGGUCUCCCCUCCCUGGGCGAAGCCAGGACAGGCCCGCGCCCCCCCUGCAACUCCACUCCUCCAGGGCCCUGGGGAGAUUCUCACCCUGGGCCACCAGCCUCCUGUGGUUUUGAAAGUCCUGCCAGAGGACAUUCCAAUCCAAGAUUGCAUCUGACAUCUUAGUAGCUGGAAAUGGGGGGAGUAGGCCUCGCCGAUUUCAGAUAAAUAAAACGAGGACUCCCAGCCCCUCGGCCAGUCAGAGCUGCAAGUCCCCAGGAUGCAGAGAGCCUGGCCUGACUCCGGAAUACAGGUCACCCAGCCAGGGGCCAUAGGAGGCUGCCAGGGAUCAGCAAGGGGAGAGGAACACAAGCUGGAAUCCCUGAGCUGCUCCGCACACAGGCGCACCCACACCCCGGCGCACCCACACCCCGUAACUGCACCCGCACCAAGGCCAUUGCCUACCUGAGACAGACCCAGAGCACUGUGACAGCCUGGACUUGCUGCUAGAGGUGGCUCUUGGCAGCCAGAGGACUGGGGCUGGCCAGGCUCCCCAGCCUGGAGGACAGAAGCUAGCACCGACCUGCAGUGGCUGGACUGGGCAGGGCUCCGCCUCAGGAGACAACACCUGAGGCAGGAGGGAAGGACACCCGAGAGGUGUGGCUGGGGCUUCGUCCCUGUGGGAGGUGGGUUAGCUCCCGGAAUCCCUCUGGCAAUCAUCUCCCCG